CGCGGUCAGGCAGGCGAGGGUGCGGUCGCGGUUGACGGCCGCGACCGCGUCGACGACCACCGGCUCCAUACCGGUGAGCGCGA
Molecule: transfer RNA, 83 nt
Filed under: Streptomyces sp. ADI96-02
Lineage: Bacteria; Bacillati; Actinomycetota; Actinomycetes; Kitasatosporales; Streptomycetaceae
Description: tRNA-Val
Source: RNAcentral